This 153-nucleotide ribosomal RNA is filed under the name Begonia formosana. RNAcentral's name for it is "5.8S ribosomal RNA". It matches the Rfam family "5.8S ribosomal RNA". From Rfam's summary of the family: 5.8S ribosomal RNA (5.8S rRNA) is a component of the large subunit of the eukaryotic ribosome. It is transcribed by RNA polymerase I as part of the 45S precursor that also contains 18S and 28S rRNA. Functionally, it is thought that 5.8S rRNA may be involved in ribosome translocation. The record is from RNAcentral. Lineage: Eukaryota; Viridiplantae; Streptophyta; Magnoliopsida; Cucurbitales; Begoniaceae.
CUCGACAAUGGAUAUCUCGGUUCUCGCAUCGAUGAAGAACGUAGUGAAAUGCGAUACUUGGUGUGAAUUGCAGAAUCCCGUGAACCAUCAAGUUUUUGAACGCAGUUACGCCUGAAGCCUUCUGGCUGAGGGCACAUCUUCCUGGGCAUUACG